This 117-nucleotide small RNA is filed under the name Marmota monax (woodchuck). Lineage: Eukaryota; Metazoa; Chordata; Mammalia; Rodentia; Sciuridae. The record is from RNAcentral.
GCUGGGCUUGGUGGCCCAUGCCUGUGGUCCCAGUUACUUGAAAGGCUGAGGCAGGAGGAUCAUUUGUACCCAGGUGUUGCAGACUAGUCAGGGCAACAGAGAGAGGCCCUGUCUCAA